Molecule: long non-coding RNA, 365 nt
Filed under: Capsella rubella
Lineage: Eukaryota; Viridiplantae; Streptophyta; Magnoliopsida; Brassicales; Brassicaceae
Description: long non-coding RNA (CRUB_LNC000883)
Source: RNAcentral
UUUUCUUAAUAAACACUAUGGUUCUCUUCUUCCAAUUACUUAAGACAUCACAGCUUUUUGCUAUUCUCAUCCUUUUCUUUCUUUUCUUUAAAAUCCAGAACCAUUUUUACUAUACAUUGCAUUCUCCACACAUCUUUCACUAGAACUUUUAAACUUUUCUGAAACUUUUACUCUCCUAAAGACUCAACUCAUUCCCUUUUCAUUUCUUUCUCUUUCUUUUUAACCAUUCCAACAAAUCCCAAAAUCCAAGUAAAAUCUAUCCUAGUCCUAUCUUAUCUGAAAAAUGCAAAUCAGAACUACUCAAGAUCAUAUUCCUGUCGGCUCAAACCUAACACGUUCUCUUAAAACUCAAUCCAAUAAAAUAG